AGGCUAAGGUUAGCCAAGCCUCCUUCACUCCAUUGGUUAGAGUCCUCGUUGCUUGCUACCUACGACUGGGGGGUUCUGACAAGCACGAUUUACAUCGAGCUCGCCCUGCGCUGCUAUUUACUCUGAAACCUGAUUAGUAUGGGUCGCUAUUGUCACAAAAGAGGAAGAAACCCUGGACAGAAUAGCCAAAAAGAGGGGUAAAAGAGGGGGACAUAGCUCGGUGCACGUGAAAUAAACAAACGUGCGAGGGUGAAAGGACUCGAGUCGAGUCCCUCAAAGUUUGAGACGGUUUGUUUGAAGCUGCUGUCUUAAUUAUAGCCUAAAUGCUAAUGUGACUGACAGUAUCAGUGCCCUGUUCUCUAAUUUUACAAUAUGAAGAAAUACGUGUGAUAACACGCAGCGCAUGUAAACCACUUUUCAUACCAAUGCAGAGGAGAACAUAGCGCAAUGUAAACGAAGAGCAUUUAUGUGAAAACAUCUAUAUUGCAAAAAAAAAAAAAAAAAAAACGAUCGCUUAAUACAGAACCAGCCUUAAUAAUAGUGGCCGAUUCUGAUUACAGCGAGACGGAAACACACAGCUUGAAACCCGACAGAGAUAUUGGAAUUGGUAAUGCAUAGCAAGAAUACAACGCGGAUGCCAUGUUAUGUUGCUAUUAUUACAGUAAUUCCAAAAUUAAGUUAAGUUGCUUGAAAAUUGCGCGGGGAAUCCGACUGUCUGUAUCGAGACAGAGAAGCCUGCGCCGAACAGACUUAAAAUGUCUGGAUCGGACUGCCAUCUAGCGUACAGUAGACAAUUACAGAGGCACAGUGCUGUAUAAUGUAUUGUAAUCAAGUACCUUUUAAAGAAAUGUUAUAAAAAUGCAGAUGCAUAUGGAUUUUUUAUCAGCACUAUUGCGAUUGUUGACGUAGUGUGCAAUAAAGCAAAAUUCUCAUCUUGCUACUUUGCAACCAUUUUUGCAGAAUAAAUUUCCCGAACAAAAAAGUUUUUCAUAAAACACAUUCUGCUUCUGUAUGAAAGAAAAGUAUGUUGCGUUAAGAUGUACACCAAUAAUCGUGUUGACGUGCGUAUAUAUUCUUAUACGUACAAACAUGAUGUCAAAUGUGCCAAUGCGUCCCUUUUCAACUCAUAAGUUCAGCGGCGUAAUAGUUUUAUAACACAAAUGGUUCCAGAGCUGAACGGUCAGGGUUAGUGCGGGUUUAUAGUUGGUAUUACUUCGUAAAUGCAAUGUACAAAUAGCAAAGAGGCAGCAUUACAAUAGGAUGCAAAUGUCGAAGCAGUGCCCCAGUAAAUGCAGUUCUUGGGGGGAUGUCUGUUUUUGACUAUUCAGCAACGGCGCUUUUCGCGUCCCUCUCCCCGCUGCUCCAAAUAAACUCUCGGUCAUGUCUUCUGCUUCUUGAAAAGAUUGCGAAGAGAGCGCGAAGGAGAGAGAGGGAGAGGGAAUAGCGAAUGAGAGAAGAGGGAAGAAAGCUUGCACGAAAACAGCGAGGCAGAAGAGGGAAAGUGGACACUAGGACAUUUAAAGAAGAAGCAGCCAUGGAAAGCUGUGAUGGGUGGAUGGCAGAUAGAAACAUCAGAAUUAAACCUAUUUCCGUCUGGGGAUAAUCUCGUGCAUGGUAAAGGUCUUUUAAGGUGAGUCCUAUUGGCAAUGUGUGCAUGCCAUGUGCUCAUGCAUACACAGAUUUUUAGAUACAUGCUCUGUAAAAAUGUGGCACAACCAGCUGCUCAUUGCUCAUUGGCUCACUCACAAAGCUGGCAUCAUCAUCAUCAUCCAGUCACAAUUCAGAACAGCCCGAUGAAGCAGAAAUCUGAUGUGUAAGGUCGCCGGGUGCACAGCAAAUAGUAAUUAUUCCCCAUUUACUUUUAAAAAUGACCCAUUAAGCAUAAGUACAUGAGGGCCAUCACUGUGGUCGGUGUCAAAUUCUGCUUACGGUUCGACUGAAGUACGUUGCACGCGCAUUCAUUUUUUUCUCAACAGGUUUUUGCUAAAAAAUUUUUACCUUUUCAAAUUUGGAGUUUCCAUGCAUGUUGCCCAUACACCUGUCCCGUUGUCGCUGUUUCCCCCUGUCAAUUCCGGGAGUGCCCUGUGGGGCGAGCGCUCUUGUCCUUGCAGACGCGGCGGUGCGCAGUUUUUUUUCACCCUGCAGCCCGCUAGCUGUGCCGCGCGGUCAUCGCGCCGGGGUACCGAGUCACACGUCUGCAGCUGGCGCCGGCCAAUCGUCGCUCAGUAAACAGGGUGAGGCUACGGGCAGCUGUACGGCGUCCCGCCCGCCAGCCUGUCGCAGUCGACGCUGGCAGGAUUCGGACCGCGGGGCUGACCCCCGCAGCCAGGACCAGUGCUUUAGCUGGACCUGCCCCCCGGGGAAACCCAAGCAUGAUGUAACCGUGAUGUAAAAAUCUCUCUGCGGUCGUCGGAAAGUUACGCUCGGUGCUCUUUUGGGUCAUGUGAGGCGAACGUGAUUCAGCGCAUCAUUCAAAGUCAAACCAGAUCAGUGUGUCUGCGUCUUUUUUUUUGUUUUUUUUUUGCUUGGGGAUAAUCAAAAAAUAAUCACACAAAAAAUCUAAAAUUGCAGAUGGAACAGUUAUUAAUUC
Anguilla anguilla (European eel) is the source of this 2590-nucleotide long non-coding RNA. RefSeq lists it as uncharacterized. NCBI's taxonomy places the organism in Eukaryota, Metazoa, Chordata, Actinopteri, Anguilliformes, Anguillidae. The transcript is spliced from 3 exons. The record is from RefSeq and is a predicted model, not a curated record.